Molecule: ribosomal RNA, 837 nt
Filed under: uncultured bacterium
Lineage: Bacteria
Description: bacterial SSU rRNA
Rfam family: Bacterial small subunit ribosomal RNA
Source: RNAcentral
CAAGUCGAACGAUGAAGUUCCUUCGGGAUGGAUUACUGGCGAACGGGUGAGAACACGUGAGAAACCUGCCUUUCAUUCUGGGAUAACCCCGGGAAACCGGUGCUAAUACCGGAUACUCCAUCUUGGCGGCAUCGCCGAGCUGGGAAAAAAUUUUGAUGAAAUAUGGUCUCGCGGCCUAUCUUCUAGUUGGUGAGGUAAAGGCUCACCAAGGCGACAACAGGUAGCCGGCCUGAAAGGGCGACCGGCCCCACUGGGACUGAGACGCGGCCCAGACUCCUACUGGAGGCAGCAGUAGGGAAUAUUGGGCAAUGGGCGAAAGCCUGACCCAGCGACUCCGCGUGAGGGAUGAAGGUCUUCGGAUUGUAAACCUCUUUCACUAGGGAAGAAGCGAAAGUGACGGUCCUAAAGAAGAGGCACCGGCUAACUAUGUGCCUACAGCCGCGGUAAAUCAUAGGGUGCAAGCGUUGUCCGGAAUUAUUGGGCGUAAAGAGCUCGAAUGUCGUUUGUCGCGUCAAUUGUGAAAAUCUGAAGCUCAACCUCAGACCUGCAGUCAAUACGGGCAAACUACAGUGUGGUAGGGGAGACUGGAAUUCCUGGUGUAGCGGUGGAAUGCGCAAAUAUCAUGAGGAACACCAAUGGCAAACGCAGGUCUCUGGGCCAUAACUGACACUGAGGAGCGAAAGUGCGGGGAGCCAACACGAUUACAUACCCUGGUAGUCCGCACCGUACACAGCGGGCACUAGUUGUGGGAACCUUCCACGGCUUCCGCGACGCAGAAACGCAUUAAGUGCCCCGCCUGAGGAGUACUAUCGCAGAUUAAACUCAAGGAAUUGACUG